RNAcentral lists this unclassified non-coding RNA (395 nucleotides) under uncultured fungus. Its description in RNAcentral is "sequence contains ITS1". The stretch from base 1 to 105 matches the Rfam family "5.8S ribosomal RNA", at positions 50 to 154 of the family's 154-position model. The record is from RNAcentral. Lineage: Eukaryota; Fungi.
AAACUGCGAUAAGUAGCGUGAAUUGCAGACGCUUUGAACGUUAAACUUUCGAACGCACAUUGCGCCGUAGGAGUCCUACCCUACGGCACAUCUGGUUGAGGGUCGUGAUCAAAAACAGUAGAACUAUGACUGUAAUAAAAAUAGCUGGUGAAUCACAAGUUCGGCCUACCGCCUCAGGUUGAAUGUGUUUUGCCAUAAUGCUUCAGAGGACAAUCCCUAGGAUUGCCUACCACACGGAUGAUCUAUUAGCUGAUGCAAUAGGUCCCGGUCAUAGGGUAUCAUACUUAAAUACUCUGUGGCGUCGGGGACACAGCUAGUACGCUUCAUACGUGCAUGGUAUUGAGAGUUUUCGCUCUCCCGACCUCAACUCAGGUGUGAUUACCCGCUGAACUUAA